This 253-nucleotide ribosomal RNA is filed under the name uncultured bacterium. Its description in RNAcentral is "partial 16S ribosomal RNA". It matches the Rfam family "Bacterial small subunit ribosomal RNA", at positions 524 to 776 of the family's 1533-position model. The record is from RNAcentral.
UACAGAGGGGGCAAGCGUUAUUCGGAAUUAUUGGGCGUAAAGGGCGCGUAGGCGGCCUGGCAAGUGGAUGGUGAAAUCCCUCGGCUUAACCGAGGAACUGCCGUCCAAACUGCUUGGCUUGAGACCGGGAGAGGUGAGUGGAAUUCCCAGUGUAGCGGUGAAAUGCGUAGAUAUUGGGAGGAACACCAGUGGCGAAGGCGGCUCACUGGACCGGUACUGACGCUGAUGCGCGAAAGCGUGGGGAGCAAACGGG